GGGUAUGUUAAUAGCAUACUCAUUUGACGUUAGCUGCAGAAGAAGCACCGGCUAACUCCGUGCCAGCAGCCGCGGUAAUACGGAGGGUGCGAGCGUUAAUCGGAAUUACUGGGCGUAAAGCGCAUGCAGGUGGUUUGUUAAGUCAGAUGUAGAAACGCCCGGGGCUCAACCUCGGAAUUGCAUUUAGAAACUGGACAAACUAGAGUACUGUAGAGGGGGUAGAAUUUCAGGUGUAGCGGUGAAAUGCGUAGAGAUCUGAAGGAAUACCGGUGGCGAAGGCGGCCCCCUGGACAGAUACUGACACUCAGAUGCGAAAGCGUGGGGAGCAAACAGGAUUAGAUACCCUGGUAG
RNAcentral lists this ribosomal RNA (351 nucleotides) under uncultured bacterium. RNAcentral's name for it is "bacterial SSU rRNA". It matches the Rfam family "Bacterial small subunit ribosomal RNA", at positions 446 to 793 of the family's 1533-position model. The record is from RNAcentral.